GAUGAACGCUGGCGGCGUGCCUAAUACAUGCAAGUCGAGCGAACGGACGAGAAGCUUGCUUCUCUGAUGUUAGCGGCGGACGGGUGAGUAACACGUGGAUAACCUACCUAUAAGACUGGGAUAACUUCGGGAAACCGUAGCUAAUACCGGAUAAUAUUUUGAACCGGAUGGUUCAAAAGUGAAAGACGGUAUUGCUGUCACUUAUAGAUGGAUCCGCGCUGCAUUAGCUAGUUGGUAAGGUAACGGCUUACCAAGGCAACGAUGCAUAGCCGACCUGAGAGGGUGAUCGGCCACACUGGAACUGAGACACGGUCCAGACUCCUACGGGAGGCAGCAGUAGGGAAUCUUCCGCAAUGGGCGAAAGCCUGACGGAGCAACGCCGCGUGAGUGAUGAAGGUCUUCGGAUCGUAAAACUCUGUUAUUAGGGAAGAACAUAUGUGUAAGUAACUGUGCACAUCUUGACGGUACCUAAUCAGAAAGCCACGGCUAACUACGUG
Molecule: ribosomal RNA, 497 nt
Filed under: uncultured bacterium
Lineage: Bacteria
Description: partial 16S ribosomal RNA
Rfam family: Bacterial small subunit ribosomal RNA
Source: RNAcentral